RNAcentral lists this RNase P RNA (483 nucleotides) under Gemmataceae bacterium. Its description in RNAcentral is "RNase P RNA component class A". It matches the Rfam family "Bacterial RNase P class A". Rfam says of the family: Ribonuclease P (RNase P) is a ubiquitous endoribonuclease, found in archaea, bacteria and eukarya as well as chloroplasts and mitochondria. Its best characterised activity is the generation of mature 5'-ends of tRNAs by cleaving the 5'-leader elements of precursor-tRNAs. Lineage: Bacteria; Pseudomonadati; Planctomycetota; Planctomycetia; Gemmatales; Gemmataceae. The record is from RNAcentral. RNAcentral also lists the same sequence under 1 other name.
UCGGUCGGCCGGACGAUCGCCGCCGGAAACGGGGGAGGAAAGUCCGGGCUUCGCAGGGCGCGGUGGUGGGUAACGCCCACCCCCGGCAACGGUUCGCAUCCCGGUGCGGGCCGCCAACGGGCGGGACAGUGCAACAGAAAGUAAACCGCCGAGCAGUUGGCAGUUGGCAGUUGGCAGUUUGUAGAAAUGAUACCGGACAGCCGGGUACACUCUACCAACUGCCAACUGCCAACUGCCAACUGCUCCGGUAAGGGUGAAACGGUGCGGGGCGAAAGCCCUUAAUGUAAGAGCGCACCAGCGGCGGAGCGAUCCGUCGGCUCGGCAAACCCCACCGGAAGCAAGGCCAAGCAGAGGGCAGGACCGGCCCGGUCCGUUAUGACCCUCGGGUAGGCCGCUCGAUCCCGCGAGCAAUCGCGGGGCUAGAUAAAUGAUCGUCGCCACGGCAACGUGGAACAGGACCCGGCUUACAGGCCGAUCGAUCCA